AUUGCCGCACAAUGAUGUAAACUCCAUCCCUUUAAAUAUUUAUAACAAUCAUUCAUAACAAAUUAAUUAUACAUUAAAAAUGAUUAAAAAACAACAGAUAUAUUUAUCAUAAUAUUCAAUAGGUUUUAAAUGGACCUUUGAAGUGGCUGCAGUUGACCAGAAGCAAAUUGAAUCAAGGAUGGCAGUGUAGGAGUGUAGGGUAUGGUGGCAGAUCUGGUGUGCUGCUCCUCCUUUUUUCUUCCCAUGUCGGCGAAAGUGCUGGUAAAGUUGGUGGAGUCCCGGCGGGAUUGGGCUUUCCAGCUCCUAUAAGUCAGCAACCAGGGGAGUUUUCCAGCGGAAAUUCGACUGAAAGAAAGAGGAACAAUUCUAAAAGAAAUAGGGGAAGAGAAAUACAGGAAUAAGAGGCAUCUUAUGCUGAAGAAACACCCCUAAAGUCAGCCACUCAGUCAGUCAUUCUUAGUUCUCUGAGUUGAGUAGUUCUGACUUAAGUUCUGAUUUCUAAUUUGUUACAGCUAUCUUAAAUAAAUAUUAUUAUUCUUAUUAAUGCCUAUUUCCCAACAA
Long non-coding RNA from Populus nigra (black poplar), 561 nucleotides. RefSeq lists it as uncharacterized. The transcript has 2 exons. NCBI's taxonomy places the organism in Eukaryota, Viridiplantae, Streptophyta, Magnoliopsida, Malpighiales, Salicaceae. The record is from RefSeq and is a predicted model, not a curated record.